CACGUGAGUAAUCUGCCCUCGGCUGGGGAAUAACCAGGAGAAAUCCUGGCUAAUACCGCAUAACGCGGCACUGCAUAAGUGGUGUCGUUAAAGUGGCCCUGCUAUCGGCUGAGGAUGAGCUUGCGGCGGAUUAGCUUGUUGGUGGGGUAAAAGCCUACCAAGGCGACGAUCCGUAGCUGGUCUGAGAGGACGAUCAGUCACACUGGAACUGAGACACGGUCCAGACUCCUACGGGAGGCAGCAGUGGGGAAUAUUGCGCAAUGAGCGAAAGCUUGACGCAGCAACGCCGCGUGAGGGAAGAAUGCCCUAGGGUUGUAAACCUCUUUCGAUUGGGACGAAGGUUCACCUGUGAAUAUCUGUGUGGACUGACGGUACCUUUGGAAGAAGCCCCGGCUAACUACGUGCCAGCAGCCGCGGUAAUACGUAGGGGGCAAGCGUUGUCCGGAAUCAUUGGGCGUAAAGCGCGUGCAGGCGGCUUGCUAAGUCUGAUGUGAAAGCCCGGGGCUUAACCCCGGAACGUCAUUGGAUACUGGCAGGCUAGAGUCCGGAAGAGGAGAGCGGAAUUCCUAGUGUAGCGGUGAAAUGCGCAGAUAUUAGGAGGAACACCUACGGCGAAGGCAGCUCUCUGGUACGUGACUGACGCUGAGACGCGA
RNAcentral lists this ribosomal RNA (653 nucleotides) under uncultured bacterium. Its description in RNAcentral is "bacterial SSU rRNA". It matches the Rfam family "Bacterial small subunit ribosomal RNA", at positions 114 to 756 of the family's 1533-position model. The record is from RNAcentral.